This 614-nucleotide ribosomal RNA is filed under the name Diphycerus sp. BMNH 677856. Its description in RNAcentral is "partial 16S ribosomal RNA". It matches the Rfam family "Bacterial large subunit ribosomal RNA", at positions 1844 to 2735 of the family's 2925-position model. Lineage: Eukaryota; Metazoa; Arthropoda; Insecta; Coleoptera; Scarabaeidae. The record is from RNAcentral.
UUUAAAGUCUAACCUGCCCUAUGAGGAUUUAAAUGGCUGCGGUAUUUUGACCGUACAAAGGUAGCAUAAUCAUUAGUUUUUUAAUUGAAAGCUGGUAUGAAUGGUUGGACGAGAAAAUAACUGUCUCAAUUUAAUAGUUAGAAUUUUAUUUUUAAGUAAGAAAGCUUAAAUAUUAUUGAAAGACGAGAAGACCCUAUAGAGUUUUAUAUAAAGCGAGGUUUAAUUAAAGCAGAAUUUAUAUCAAUAUAAUUUGGUUUUGUAUUUUAUUGGGGUGAUAGGAAAAUUAAAGGAACUUUUUUUUUUGUAUUUAACAUUGAUAUAUGAAUAAUUGAUCCAUCGUAAUGAUUAAAAGAUUAAAUUACCUUAGGGAUAACAGCGUAAUUUCUUUUGAGAGUUCAUAUCGAAAAGGAAGGUUGCGACCUCGAUGUUGGAUUAAAAUUAAUUUUUGGUGUAGGUGCUAAAAUAUUAGGUCUGUUCGACCUUUAAAAUUUUACAUGAUCUGAGUUUAAACCGGUGUAAGCCAGGUUGGUUUCUAUCUUCAAUUAGAUAAAAUAUUUUAGUACGAAAGGACCAAGUAUUAAUAAAAGUUAUUGUUUUAUGAAUGAAGUUAAUUA